Small nuclear RNA from Meriones unguiculatus (Mongolian gerbil), 106 nucleotides. The record is from Ensembl. Lineage: Eukaryota; Metazoa; Chordata; Mammalia; Rodentia; Muridae.
GGGCUCGCCUUGACUGUACCUAUACUAAAAUAUAAUACAGAGAAGAUUAGGAUGGUCCCUGCUCAAAGAUGACACACACACUUAAUUAAAAGCAUUCCAUACUUUU